UACGAAGGGGGCUAGCGUUGUUCGGAAUUACUGGGCGUAAAGCGUGCGCAGGCGGCUUUCCAAGUCAGUGGUGAAAGCCCGGAGCUCAACUCCGGAGAUGCCAUUGAAACUGUGAAGCUUGAGAACGAGAGAGGUGAGUGGAAUUCCCAGUGUAGAGGUGAAAUUCGUAGAUAUUGGGAAGAACACCAGUGGCGAAGGCGGCUCACUGGCUCGUAACUGACGCUCAUGCACGACAGCGUGGGGAUCAAACAGG
Molecule: ribosomal RNA, 253 nt
Filed under: uncultured bacterium
Lineage: Bacteria
Description: partial 16S ribosomal RNA
Rfam family: Bacterial small subunit ribosomal RNA
Source: RNAcentral